GCUGGAUUCGCUAGUAAUCGCGCAUCAGCCAUGGCGCGGUGAAUACGUUCCCGGGCCUUGUACACACCGCCCGUCAAGCCAUGGGAGCCGGGGGUGCCUGAAGUACGUGACCGCGAGGAGCGUCCUAGGGCAAAACUGGUGACUGGGGCUAAGUCGUAACAAGGUAAC
This 168-nucleotide ribosomal RNA is filed under the name uncultured bacterium. RNAcentral describes it as "partial 16S ribosomal RNA". It matches the Rfam family "Bacterial small subunit ribosomal RNA", at positions 1325 to 1500 of the family's 1533-position model. The record is from RNAcentral.